Long non-coding RNA from Lycium barbarum (goji berry), 2454 nucleotides. RefSeq lists it as uncharacterized. The record is from RefSeq and is a predicted model, not a curated record. The transcript is spliced from 4 exons. NCBI's taxonomy places the organism in Eukaryota, Viridiplantae, Streptophyta, Magnoliopsida, Solanales, Solanaceae.
UUAAAAUAUAAAAAUAAUUGGAAAUUCAUAAAAAAAAAAAAACUGUAAAAUUAAAAACUGCCAAUCCACAAAAACCGAAAUUAAAAAUAAAAAAAUAAAUAAAAAAAUUGUAGUUGCAAAUUACGGUUUUGGAGAUGGUUAUAACUUGAUACACAGAACUCCCAACACCAAGAAAUUGACGAUGGAAAAUUUUCAAAAACAGAAAAGAAGAAGAAGAAGAAGAAUCGUUCUGUGACAAUGGAAACCAUCGCAGGUAGAUUAUUGUGGAGAGGCAACAUCGGCUUAGUUGUGUAGAUAAGGAAACCUAAACUCUGAAGAUUAUUGGUCUCCUUUCAGUGAUGCUGAAAUAAAUUCAAUUCAAGGGACUUUUCUAUGCAAGUGAAAAAAGGUCAUAAAACUAAGUAGUUGGACUUCUGGAUCCAAGUGAUGGUGAUUUCUUUGAAGCUAUGGCAAUGAUGUUCAUGCUGGUGACAAACAAAUUGAAAAAAAUGCUGGUGAAAUAUCAAUGUGUUGCAUUUCAACCAUUCAUAGGUGAGAUUUUGAUAGCAAUAGUUGCCAUAAUUAACAAGGUAAGGAAAUUUCAUUUGUCUGUAAGAUGAUUAUAAAAUAAUUUUAAUUUUUCACUACCUAUAGAUAUUUUAUUCCUGUGGAUUGAUGCAGAUGGGAUUCGUUGAAGUAGUGCGUGCUUGUUCAGAUUUUCUUUUCAAAUUCCUAUAUUCUAAAAUUACACUCGCCCCUUUUUCUGGAAUGACGUGGUCAGGAUUACAAUCUAAAAGUAUUAUCUAGUGUGUAUUGCCACAUAGAACACUUACUCUGCAAGAUUCACUAGCGGAAUUACAGUCUCAAAAGCUAUUUUAGGUAUUAUACUUCUGUCUGUGGGUACAUUUAAGUUUUCUCAUGUGCUUGCAUUGUUGAUAUAUCAACAAGGUAUACUAUGAUCAUACGUAGUGGAGAAGAUUGCCUGCUAUAUCACUAUCAAAAAAAUAUGAAUAUUCAAAGAUGAAUUAUUGAGAUGGAACUCAAUGCUACUGGCUGAUUUAAUUGUUCCUAUUCACAAAUACAUUGAUCUUGAAAUUAAAUUAGAAUUUCAGUUGUAAUUAGAUAUGUGGACUACUUUAAAAUGCCACAUAUUAAGUAGGCGUUUGGCCAUAAGAAUUAUUCACUUUAUUCCGAAUUUUUUUUUUUCACUUUUCAGCGUUUGGCCAUAAGAAUUCCGAAUACAACUUGAAGUUGUAUUCCGGAAUUUCAAGAACUCAAAAAACUUGUUUUUCAAAAAAAAUCACUUUUUUCACUUUUUUACAACUACAUUUCACCAAAAACUAUGGCCAAACACAGCUCCAACUCCAACUCCAACUCCAAAAUUCCAAAAAAAGUGAAUUUUUUUUUUUGGUUUCUAUGGACAAACGGAGCCUAAGUUUAGAAGGACUGCAAUCUUAUGGACUCUGUGACCUUAUGUCUAACCUGUUGUGCAUUAGUAUAUAUUUCUAGAUAAAUGAGGCAAAAUAUUACUAUGAUGAUCGAUAAGAUACAAAUUUAAAAAAAGAGAUCAAUUUUUUCUCUUCUAACUUCUAAGUGCAUUUAUUUUUGUUACUUACACAUGAAAUUAUGUUAUGUGCAAGUGCAACAGUAAUGAUGAAUUCCUUAGGAAUACGACUUCUUUUUUUUUUUUUUUUUAUGACAUGGGAAUCCGCAGCCACUACCCUUCGGGUGCACAUAGGGUAAACCCAGCUCCUGUGCAAUAGCUCGCAAACCACACAUGAGAGAUAACCCGCACUAGGCAACCCUCGUGCGAUGAGCUCGACCCAGAAGGCAAAUCUCCUAUUGUUGUAGGCAGGGGUUGCGAACCUGAAACCUCCAUUAUGAAAGCCCCAUGCUCAACCAACUGAGCCACCCUUGCGGGUAAUACGAUUUCUUUUUCUUUAUCGAUAAAAGAUAAAUUCUUUAGGACCUGAUCAGACGACAAUAUUUAAGUAUAAUCGCAAGAUGAUGAAUGAUGUCAGUUCAGUUGUUGCACCUGUUGAUAGCACUAUUACUGCAACACCUUUGCUGGGAAGGAGAAAGAAAAAAACAUGUGAGGAAGAUCGAGCCAAAUGAGGAUUGUAUGGCUGAAAGUGAGAUGAUGUCUUCUUUACAAACUCCAUCAAGAAAAGCAUAUCAGAAAGUGGAUCGUUCGUGCUAGAAGAUGGUGAUGAUUGGAAUGCAAAACUAUCUACCAAGAGAAGCAAAUCCGUAGGCAGAUCUUCAAUGCAAGAACAUGAUGAUGAGCUGAAUGCGAAACUAUCCAGCAAUAGGGUUCAGAAAGUGAUUAAGAAGGAAAAAAACACGAGUUCUUCACUUAUAGGAGACUGUAGUAACUAAAUGCACACUUUUAUUUCAGUCAGGUGUUUUUCUUUGUUAAACAUUUAUUUUACAAUGUCUAUAAGCUAUUUUGGAUAUGAACAAGGUUUAUAUUGU